GCGAAAGCCUGAUGCAGCAACGCCGCGUGAGCGAUGAAGGCCUUCGGGUUGUAAAGCUCUGUCUUCGCUGACGAAUGAUGACGGUAAGCGAGGAGGAAGCCACGGCUAACUACGUGCCAGCAGCCGCGGUAAUACGUAGGUGGCAAGCGUUGUCCGGAAUUACUGGGCGUAAAGAAUGCGUAGGCGGCUUUUUAAGUGGGAUGUGAAAUCCCUGGGCUCAACCCAGGAACUGCAUUCCAAACUGGAAAGCUAGAGUGCGGGAGAGGAAAUUGGUAUUCCCAGUGUAGCGGUGAAAUGCGUAGAGAUUGGGAGGAACACCAGUAGCGAAGGCGAAUUUCUGGAACGUAACUGACGCUGAGGCAUGAAAGCGUGGGGAGCAAACAGGAUUAGAUACCCUGGUAGUCCACGCCGUAAACGAUGAGUACUAGGUGUAGGGGGGUACCACCCCCUGUGCCGCAGUUAACGCAAUAAGUACCCCGCCUGGGGAGUA
RNAcentral lists this ribosomal RNA (490 nucleotides) under uncultured bacterium. RNAcentral describes it as "bacterial SSU rRNA". It matches the Rfam family "Bacterial small subunit ribosomal RNA", at positions 375 to 882 of the family's 1533-position model. The record is from RNAcentral.